GCUGGGCACAGUGGCGUGUGCCUGUAAUUCCAGUUACUCAGGAGGCUGAGGCAGGUGGAUUGCUUGAGCUUAGGAGUUCGAGGCCAGCCUGGGCAAUGUAGCAAGAACCUGUCUCUG
Molecule: signal recognition particle RNA, 117 nt
Filed under: Nomascus leucogenys (northern white-cheeked gibbon)
Lineage: Eukaryota; Metazoa; Chordata; Mammalia; Primates; Hylobatidae
Description: Metazoan signal recognition particle RNA
Rfam family: Metazoan signal recognition particle RNA
About the family: The signal recognition particle (SRP) is a universally conserved ribonucleoprotein.
Source: Rfam by way of RNAcentral